GCCUAACGCAUGCAAGUCGAGCGGUAGAGAGAAGCUUGCUUCUCUUGAGAGCGGCGGACGGGUGAGUAAUACCUAGGAAUCUGCCUGAUAGUGGGGGAUAACGUUCGGAAACGGACGCUAAUACCGCAUACGUCCUACGGGAGAAAGCAGGGGACCUUCGGGCCUUGCGCUACCAGAUGAGCCUAGGUCGGAUUAGCUAGUUGGUGAGGUAAUGGCUCACCAAGGCUACGAUCCGUAACUGGUCUGAGAGGAUGAUCAGUCACACUGGAACUGAGACACGGUCCAGACUCCUACGGGAGGCAGCAGUGGGGAAUAUUGGACAAUGGGCGAAAGCCUGAUCCAGCCAUGCCGCGUGUGUGAAGAAGGUCUUCGGAUUGUAAAGCACUUUAAGUUGGGAGGAAGGGCAGUUACCUAAUACGUGAUUGUCUUGACGUUACCGACAGAAUAAGCACCGGCUAACUCUGUGCCAGCAGCCGCGGUAAUACAGAGGGUGCAAGCGUUAAUCGGAAUUACUGGGCGUAAAGCGCGCGUAGGUGGUUUGUUAAGUUGAAUGUGAAAUCCCCGGGCUCAACCUGGGAACUGCAUCCAAAACUGGCAAGCUAGAGUAUGGUAGAGGGUAGUGGAAUUUCCUGUGUAGCGGUGAAAUGCGUAGAUAUAGGAAGGAACACCAGUGGCGAAGGCGACUACCUGGACUGAUACUGACACUGAGGUGCGAAA
RNAcentral lists this ribosomal RNA (717 nucleotides) under uncultured bacterium. Its description in RNAcentral is "bacterial SSU rRNA". It matches the Rfam family "Bacterial small subunit ribosomal RNA", at positions 46 to 758 of the family's 1533-position model. The record is from RNAcentral.